GCUGGGCGUGGUGGCGCAUGCCUGUAAUCCCAGCUACUCAGGAGGCUGAGGCAGGAGAAUUGCUUGAACCCAGGGGGCGGAGGUUGCAGUGAGCUGAGAUCAUGCCACUGCACUGCAGCCUGGUCAACAGAGCAAGACUCUGUCUCAA
RNAcentral lists this non-coding RNA (148 nucleotides) under Gorilla gorilla gorilla (western lowland gorilla). Lineage: Eukaryota; Metazoa; Chordata; Mammalia; Primates; Hominidae. The record is from Rfam by way of RNAcentral.